Long non-coding RNA from Calidris pugnax (ruff), 543 nucleotides. RefSeq lists it as uncharacterized. The transcript is spliced from 3 exons. Lineage: Eukaryota; Metazoa; Chordata; Aves; Charadriiformes; Scolopacidae. The record is from RefSeq and is a predicted model, not a curated record.
CUUUCUCCGCGGGCGGCGUGAGGAGCAGUUAUAUAUUUGAGAAAUCUGAAGUGAGCGAGCGUUGAUUUGGAAGAUACUGGUGCCUGAUUGCAUCGAGAUGCUGACAACAGAAAAGAAUCCAUGUGUCUAGUGGGAGAGGGUGAGUAUAUUGAGAGAAUUGGCCCCAGUAAUAAAUGGAGGUGAUAGCUAAGGGUCAGUUCAUGCGGUAUCUGGAGUCAAAAUGUAGCCCCAGAGAUGAGAACGGGCUGGAAGAUCCCCACAAAUGAGAAUAAAAGGCCUGAUUCUGUGGUGGGUUGUGCAGCUGCUGAAUGGGAAAGCCAAUAAAGCCAUGGGGCUGGGGUGAAUUUGGUGUUGCCUUAAAGGCACCACGAAAAAAGAAAAAAGCCACCCUAGAUGGCUGGCCCACCAGGAAGGAGCUGCCUUUGGGGUGUUCUCAAAGGGUGGGAGCCCGGGGUAUGAAAAAGCAAGAAAAAGAAGCCAUGUGUGGACUUGGACUUGCCACCAGCUGGUCUGUGGACCCACGUCCCCCCCCAGCAGUGGGGC